RNAcentral lists this long non-coding RNA (4997 nucleotides) under Sus scrofa (pig). Its description in RNAcentral is "lncRNA (ENSSSCG00030014180.1)". The record is from RNAcentral. Lineage: Eukaryota; Metazoa; Chordata; Mammalia; Artiodactyla; Suidae.
GACUACACCACCAACGCCAGAUCCAAGCCAUGUCUGUGACCUAUACCACAGCUCAUGGCAAUGCCGGAUCCUUAACCAAAAUCGAGGCCAGGGAUCAAACCCACAUCUUCAUGGAUACUAGCCAGGUUUGUUACUGCUGAGCCACAACAGGAACUCCUUCCCACCUUUUUUUUUUUCCCCCCUCAGGAACAGUCUCUAUAAUGUGACUUGACAGUUUGGAAAGUAUAAUUUUUUUUUUUUUAAUGUGAAAAUGGGGAAUCUGCUAGGCACUAAAAAGGUCACUUUUGAGAAGAAACAUUCUGUUUCAAGCUUAAUGAAAUUUAAUAAAUAUAGUCAUCUGUUUCCUUCCUUACCCCUCUAUCUUGUCUAGGCUCUUCGUGAACACUUUCUUAUUGGGUAAUUGUUGGAAGAGAGACAAUCAAAAUGAUUUUGCAAUUUCACCUUGGAAGUAUUUUGAUUUUCUUAGGCAAAGGUUCUUCAGCUAACAUAUUUAAGACAAUUAGUUUUCGUUGUAAUCCUACUUAUUAUAUUGUAUAUGCAUAUAAAAGCACUGUGGAGAAGUGAUUCAUAAACUUCAUAAGACUAUCAGAGAGUGCAUAGCAAAAAGAAAAAAAAAAAAGACAUGCACAUAUCUAAAUGGAGAUUUCCAGAAGGGCUCAGGAACAGAAUUUUCCCCUCAUCUGCGCUAGGAGAGGGCAGAUUUCUUACAUAGGCACAAAGAGCCACCACUCAUUGGCCUCAGUCUCCAAAAUGAAAAGGAAAAUAAAAUAUGUGCCUUACUUUUCUGAAUAAAUAUCUAAAUUUAACUAAAAUUUAAUAGCCAUUAGCUACUAAUGGGAUUUUGAUUGACUUUCAUAAAGCAUGUCAUUCAUUUUUCCAUAUAUCUCCCCCCCCCUUUUUUGACUCUUUGCCUUUUCUAGGGCCACACCCACGGCAUCUGGAGGUUCCCAGGCUAGGUGUCUAAUCAGAGCUGUAGCUGCCGGCCUACGCCAGAGCCACAGCAAUGCAGGAUCCGAGCCGUGUCUGCAACCUACACCACAGCUCACGGCAACACCGGAUCCUUAACCCAUUGAGCAAGGCCAGGGAUCGAACCUGCAACCUCAUGGUUCCUAGUCACAUUCCUUAGCCACUGAGCCACAAUGGGAACUCCUAUCCCCCCCUUUUAAAAGUCUUUGCUCCCUGGGCUUGGAGUUCAUUUUAUAGUUGCAAGUGAAUAGUCUUUCAGUCAAUGUGAAACAUGUUAUUUCAGGACAGUCUACAACAAAGGGAAAGCUUGACAUUCUUGUUUUAGAAACUCGGAUAUUGCCGAGCUGUCUUCUCUAACAGGAAGACAUCCAUUGGCCUUCCCUCAUCUUUUCAGAAGCGCUGAAGACAUACCACUUGCCAGGCAGCGUGAAGGCACUGGGGCCGUCAAGAUAAAUGUCCCCUGCCCUCGAAGAACUCUGUCCACCGAGGAGGAUGCUAGGGCUGAAGCUGCACCUGAGGCAUAUGGUUGAAUCAGAGCUGCAGCUGCCGGCCUACACCACAACCAGCCACAGCAAUGCAGGAUCCAAACUGUGUCUGUGACCUAUACCGCAGCUCAUGGCAAUGCUGGAUCCUCAACCCACUGCACUGGGCCAGGGAUCAAACCUGCAUCCUCAUGGAUACAAGUAGGGUUUGUAACCCGCUGAGCCACAACAGGAACUCUAAGAUUUGAAUUCUUGAUGCAGAGCUGGAGACGGUACAGGAAGAGAAGGCCUCUGUUUAGUUCUCUCCAGGUAGGCUCCUCAGCCUGGACCUGCAGCUCACUCCCGCCAGCCCACCACUUCAAAGUAGAACCAGUCCUUAUUUAAACGGCACUCAAGACUCUGAGUGGCUCCCUCGUUACACAGAAGAUUCUCUUCCAUCCAGUUUUGCUCUCUCUGUUUUCUAUCCAAAAGCUUCCUCUUUCAAGUGGGAUUCAUGUCAGAAUCAAAUGAGAAGCAAAUAGAAAAAUAAAGUUCAUAAGGCGCACAUGGGGGGAAAAAUCGCUGACUCUUUACAAAACAACUGGCACAGGUCAACGUGGUGAUCCUCUGUGUGCUCUAUCCAGGCGACCGACUAUCUAUCCAGGUAGAUGUCCUUCUGGCUCAGAACCACAAGCACCUGUCCCCUGAGAGGCUCGUCAUGAUGGUUCUGUAGAUCACUUAGCACAUUCUGAGUGCUCUGUGACUGUCGGGGAUAUGAGAUUACCUUCAGGGGAUGUCAUGCCAGAGGAAGGUGCCAGGCAAAUACUAGUAUUGUUAUUCUUUUAGCACAAAUUUAUAAUUGACUUUCUGUUAAACAUUGCAGCAAGUUAAAUUAAUUCAGUAUGAUUGCAGUCAUUAAACAAAUCCCUGGUAAUGACUGCUUUCUUAUUUUAGCAUUCCUCACAUCGCUGGGGUAAUACCAUAUAAGGCUAUUGCUCCAUUGUCAGAUUAAUUGGGAUGCGCAACCUGCCUUUUGCAAUAGAGCCUGCACACAGCUUUAUAGCAGCCGGACCAUGAUUUAAGGCUACUGCUGGACUAAUUUACCUUUGAGAUUUUCCCUAUUGCUCUUGCCAUUCCGUUAGGUACAAUUGACUAGUUCAUUACAGCGUACAAGUGGCUCAAGGCAAUUUUUUCCUGCUUAAAAAAAAAAAAAAAAAAGCAGUGUGCUUUUAAAACCAAAACGCAGGGAGGAACUCUCCCACCCUUCUUCUUUUGAUGCUGAAAUGCUGAAACUAACUCAAACAAUAGGAACAGUGAGUAGGUAUUCCCUUGAUUUCACAUUGGAACGGUCACCCCCCCACCCCCACCCCCACCCCAGAAUCACCUACCAUUUUAGCAAGCAGGAUAGAAAUAGUUAAGUCCUGAAGCCUGCGAGUUAAAAACUCUGCCUGAGAGACACACGAUGUGAAACGUUCCUGCCAGGUGUGGGGGUAGCACUGCCAGGUGGGGACGGUGAAUGGCGGGCCUCCUGAAGCUCGGCUUCACGGUCAAGGUCGUCUGACUGGUGCCACUUUAGAAACUGGCCCGCUUCUGUAGAGGACAUUGAACGAUCACCCCCUGCGAGUCAGCUGACUGCUGCAUCAUCGCCACUGCCCCAGCCCAGGCUCCUGCCGUUUCCUCAUCACAACGCACACCACUAAGCAAAAAGCGACAAGAGUUUGAAAGUGUUCUUUUCCUGCUGCUACUUGACAUGUCUUACAUGAGGAGUAUUUACCUUUGUUUAGCCAGGAGCAGAGAAGCAAUCUGAAGGUACAGGAUGGCUUCACACUUGGCAGCGUGAAUUUCCAGCAGAGCAGGUACUGCUCGGAGCCCGGUGGCCAGGCUGCCCCUGGUGCGGCGCGGCUGGGUCCCCGGCACUUGUGGGAAUAGUUUGCGGGCUUCUCAUACUGCGCCGCUCUAUCUGCAGGAAUAAAGGCUAGGACAAAGGAGAUGCUGCUUGCCACGGUUUGUCUGGCUGGGGCCUGGGCGGGCAACCUCCGCUGAACUGAUGCUGUGUGACUCGCCUAGCUUCCAGUUCAGGCUGGUCACGGGGCCAGGCACAGAUCCCCAUUCCUCAGUUAGAACAUGGUUUCAAAGGAGAAACCAGACUCACUGACCUAAAUCCUUCCCAGUCCUCUCUGGAUGCAGGGACAGCUGUCGACUAGCAGUGACACAACCAGCCAUCAAGUGGAGAAUCGUUGCGACUGCAGUCUGGGUGCAGGUGGAGCCUGGGAGAAUGGCAGUUUAAUUGCGGUCCUCUGAUGGCUUCUUCUUAUUUUCCUAAAUACUCGUGCUCGCUAAGUAUACGGUUGCCUGGAUUAGUCUGCCUUCCAUGCAGUCUUCAUCUGCGCUGGUUGGAAAUCAGAGAGCCAGGCAAGCCUGUUUACUGCUGGCUCUUUCCGGCGUGAUGUUAUGCAACUAGGAUGGGUCACACUGACAACAAAGAAGGAAGCAGAAAGCAUCACUUUAUCUUCUCUUGUGAUGUUAGCGGAACAUAACUGGUCUUCGCAAUGAUGCCCUCCUCUGUGGUGUGUGUGUGUGAGAGAGAGAGUGUGUGUGUGUUUAAUUUAUCUAAUCGAAGAGCCUAACAGAUAUCAUGGGUGUGUGUGUGUAUGUGUGUGUGUGUUUUAAUGAUUUGGAAAAAAAGGCAGCCAGCCUGUGGAGACAGCAAUUUGAGACAGCCGCACAUUUAGGUUAUGGCAAUUUGAAAUACUUUGGUUCGUGAAGCCGAGCCCUAAGGGACGAGCUGGGUAACCGAGAAAGAGAUUGUAGAUAAAGAAAUAAAAAUGACAAGCGUAAUGGAGGCUCAGCAGAGGGACUGUCAGAGCAUCAGUUCAUGGAUGGCAAUUUCGCCAGGCUGAGAUUGAAUAAUUCAUAGAUUGAAAUUACCCUGCUUUCACCUUUCCAUUUAAACCGGCAUGAUCUGAAUCUCUAAUAAAUUUUCAAGAUAAAGUAAAAUGCCAAUUUGAAUCUGAAGAGCUUUUAAAACCAGAUGCUGCGUCCCUGAAUCUUUUAGUAUCUUUCGCAAUUAUCCUAUGAGAACUGCUCUUCAUCACGAAGCACCAUUACCAGGGAAAAUUACUGUGAUUACAAUAGCAACAAUAGAAUACCAUCAAAUGAUUUCUAAUUUACCUAAUUUACUAAGACUGUGUGGUUUGAAUGCCCAUUGUGUGUCACCGUGCUUGGCACCCAUGGAUCUCUGUGCCACUGGAACAAAAGUGAGGCAGUAUGUGCACUACCUUAACUCCUGAAGCAAAGAACAUUCUUCUGGGUUACAAUGUCUUCUUCGUUGGGCUUGUGUGUGUGUGUGUGUGUGUGUGUGUGUGUGUGUGUGUGUGUGUGCAUGCGUGCGUGCAUGUGUUUCCAGUGCCUAUACACCAAACGCCUGUUCCCGGAAAUGGUGAGCCUGUUGUGGAUUUGGGCUUGAUUCUUGGGUAUAAGAGAAUAUAGACUUGUUAAUGUAUACACCCUUUUAAUUUUAAUGUAUACAAGCACGUGUUUGCCAGAAGGGAGGGGAGUUUAAAAAUGUAG